GAUGAAGAACGCAGUGAAAUGCGAAAAGUAAUGUGAAUUGCAGAAUUCAGUGAAUCAUCGAAUCUUUGAACGCACAUUGCGCCCCUUGGUAUUCCGAGGGGCAUGCCUGUUCGAGCGUCAUUAUAACCCCUCAAGCUCAGCUUGGUGUUGGGGCCUGCUGCACUGGCAGCCCUUAAAAUCAGUGGCGGCGCCAUCUGGCUCUAAGCGUAGUAAUUCUUCUCGCUAUGGAGUCCUGGUGGAUGCUUGCCAUCAACCCCCAAUUUUUCUAUGGUUGACCUCGGAUCAGGUAGGGAUACCCGCUGAACUUAAGCAUAUCAAUAAGCGGAGGA
This 329-nucleotide unclassified non-coding RNA is filed under the name soil metagenome. RNAcentral's name for it is "partial contains 5.8S ribosomal RNA, internal transcribed spacer 2, and large subunit ribosomal RNA". The stretch from base 1 to 120 matches the Rfam family "5.8S ribosomal RNA", at positions 35 to 154 of the family's 154-position model. The record is from RNAcentral.